RNAcentral lists this ribosomal RNA (526 nucleotides) under uncultured bacterium. RNAcentral describes it as "bacterial SSU rRNA". It matches the Rfam family "Bacterial small subunit ribosomal RNA", at positions 9 to 530 of the family's 1533-position model. The record is from RNAcentral.
GAGUUUGAUCCUGGCUCAGAUUGAACGCUAGCGGGAUGCUUUACAUAUGCAAGUCGAACGGCAGCGCGAACUUCGGUUUGGCGGCGAGUGGCGAACGGGUGAGUAAUAUAUCGGAACGUACCCAGUAGCGGGGGAUAACUACUCGAAAGAGUAGCUAAUACCGCAUACGCCCUACGGGGGAAAGGGGGGGAUCGCAAGACCUCUCACUAUUGGAGCGGCCGAUAUCGGAUUAGCUAGUUGGUGGGGUAAAGGCUCACCAAGGCGACGAUCCGUAGCUGGUUUGAGAGGACGACCAGCCACACUGGGACUGAGACACGGCCCAGACUCCUACGGGAGGCAGCAGUGGGGGAUUUUGGACAAUGGGGGAAACCCUGAUCCAGCCAUCCCGCGUGUGCGAUGAAGGCCUUCGGGUUGUAAAGCACUUUUGGCAGGAAAGAAAUCGCAUGGGUUAAUAACCUGUGUGGAUGACGGUACCUGCAGAAUAAACACCGGCUAACUACGUGCCAGCAGCCGCGGUAAUACGUAG